Pistacia vera is the source of this 502-nucleotide long non-coding RNA. RefSeq lists it as uncharacterized. The record is from RefSeq and is a predicted model, not a curated record. The transcript has 2 exons. Lineage: Eukaryota; Viridiplantae; Streptophyta; Magnoliopsida; Sapindales; Anacardiaceae.
CAUUGUAUAAUUUGGAGAAAAUUUAAUUUGAAGUUUAAACCACUUCAUAAAUUGAUGCUUGCUCUGAUUCCCUUUGGUUUUUAGGUUAAAGUGGUGGACAGAACUGCUUGUGUUACGGCAAAUGCAGAAACUGUGGUUGUGAGCCCCCCUGGCGUUCAAGAAGCUAUUAAUGCUGAAAUUGCAAAAUAUCAUCAAGGCCGAUCUUUCAUACGACCUUCAGGUACAGAGGAUGUCAUACGUGUAUAUGCAGAGGCAUCCACACAAGAAGCAGCAGACAGCCUUGCUAACUCUGUAGCUGCAAUUGUGGACCGAUUUCUUGGUUUCAGCAGCUCCCAAUAAUUGCUUCUGACCUUUUUCUUUAACUGGACAUGACCAGUCUGAGCUCCAGAUUGCACAUCUCUGAUCAUUGCGGUUGCGGAUGCGCCUAAUGAUUUAGAUGUAUGAUGUGGUAUUUUACAAAUAUUGUAUUUUGCAAAGCCAAAAUGGAAUAUGAUUUGAGACA